RNAcentral lists this long non-coding RNA (705 nucleotides) under Bos taurus (domestic cattle). RNAcentral describes it as "long non-coding RNA NONBTAT024684". Lineage: Eukaryota; Metazoa; Chordata; Mammalia; Artiodactyla; Bovidae. The record is from RNAcentral.
AAUGAUCUUGGCUUUUUGAUAAAUGCCUAUGAUCUUCCUCUGUGGUGGUCAUUAUACUCUUUCCCUUUCCUGGUUUCCUUAGGAUCUUAUUCAUAAUUGGGACUCUAAUUAAGAAACUGGAGGGGACUUAUUAGAUAAUAUACCAUUUCAGCUUGGAUGAAGUAGUGAAAUGACCCCCUAACUAGAUAGUAAGUGGGACAAAUGCUCUCGUACCUUCCUUCAUACCACUGAAUCCAUGACAGAAAGAAAGGCUCUGACGCCUUCCAUGCAGAGUGCAUACCAAUACUGUGAAAGAAGAGGGUUCAGUACAGAGCUUAGGGCACAGAGCAUAGUGAUUUUUCCAUAAAAUGUAAAUGAAGACAUGGAAUGUUUUCAUGGGAUGGGCUACCUAUAAUCUCUCCUAACUUCAGCUCUACCAUUAGUAUAAUUUCCAAAAUGGCCAUUCCAGUCCUACUCAUUCAUGGAGCCCUGAGUGCUUUAUUAGACAUUUGAUUUUGUAAAUACAUUUUUAAAAGUCAGCUCAUGAAGACUUCAGUUCAGCAAACUAUACUAUACUUUGCUAUUCAGUUUACAGGGUGGUCUUUCUCAUGUGCAUUAAGUGACUGAUUUUUCUUUUAAAUAAAGAUUAUUUGAUACCAAUAUAGAAAUAUAUUUUCUAUAGGUUAUUUGGGAAGUUUGCAAAUGAUCACCUUUGAAAUUGAAGUG